Molecule: ribosomal RNA, 497 nt
Filed under: uncultured bacterium
Lineage: Bacteria
Description: partial 16S ribosomal RNA
Rfam family: Bacterial small subunit ribosomal RNA
Source: RNAcentral
GAUGAACGCUGGCGGCGUGCCUAAUACAUGCAAGUCGAGCGAACAGAUGAGGAGCUUGCUCCUCUGACGUUAGCGGCGGACGGGUGAGUAACACGUGGAUAACCUACCUAUAAGACUGGGAUAACUUCGGGAAACCGGAGCUAAUACCGGAUAAUAUAUUGAACCGCAUGGUUCAAUAGUGAAAGACGGUUUUGCUGUCACUUAUAGAUGGAUCCGCGCCGCAUUAGCUAGUUGGUAAGGUAACGGCUUACCAAGGCGACGAUGCGUAGCCGACCUGAGAGGGUGAUCGGCCACACUGGAACUGAGACACGGUCCAGACUCCUACGGGAGGCAGCAGUAGGGAAUCUUCCGCAAUGGGCGAAAGCCUGACGGAGCAACGCCGCGUGAGUGAUGAAGGUCUUCGGAUCGUAAAACUCUGUUAUUAGGGAAGAACAAAUGUGUAAGUAACUAUGCACGUCUUGACGGUACCUAAUCAGAAAGCCACGGCUAACUACGAG